Molecule: transfer RNA, 73 nt
Filed under: Ornithorhynchus anatinus (platypus)
Lineage: Eukaryota; Metazoa; Chordata; Mammalia; Monotremata; Ornithorhynchidae
Rfam family: tRNA
About the family: Transfer RNA (tRNA) molecules are approximately 80 nucleotides in length. Their secondary structure includes four short double-helical elements and three loops (D, anti-codon, and T loops).
Source: Rfam by way of RNAcentral
GGCAGGGUGGUCUAAUGGAAAGAGCUUGGGCUUGGGAAGUUAGAGGACCUGGGUUCUAAUUCCAGCUCUGCCA